AUACCGUGAAACUGCGAAUGGCUCAUUAAAUCAGUUAUCGUUUAUUUGAUAGUACCUUACUACUUGGAUAACCGUGGUAAUUCUAGAGCUAAUACAUGCUAAAAACCCCAACUUCGGGAGGGGUGUAUUUAUUAGAUAAAAAACCAAUGCCCUUCGGGGCUCCUUGGUGAUUCAUGAUAACUUCUCAGAUCGCAUGGCUUUACGCCGGCGACGGUUCAUUCAAAUUUCUGCCCUAUCAACUUUCGAUGGUAAGGUAGUGGCUUACCAUGGUUUCAACGGGUAACGGGGAAUUAGGGUUCGAUUCCGGAGAGGGAGCCGGAGGAACGGCUACCACAUCCAAGGAAGGCAGCAGGCGCGCAAAUUACCCAAUUCCGAUACGGAGAGGUAGUGACAAUAAAUACUGAUACAGGGCUCUUUUGGGUCUUGUAAUUGGAAUGAGUACAAUUUAAACCUCUUAACGAGGAACAAUUGGANNNNNNNNNNNNNNNNNNNNNNNNNNNNAAUUCCAGCUCCAAUAGCGUAUAUUAAAGUUGUUGCAGUUAAAAAGCUCGUAGUUGAACCUUUGGCCUGGCUGGCAGGUCCGCCUCACCGCGUGCACUUGUCCGGCCGGGCCUUUUCUUCUGGAGAACCGCAUGCCCUUCACUGGGUGUGUUGGGGACCAGGACUUUUACUUUGAAAAAAUUAGAGUGUUCAAAGCAGGCCUUUGCUCGAAUACGUUAGCAUGGAAUAAUAGAAUAGGACGUGCGGUCCUAUUUUGUUGGUUUCUAGGACCGCCGUAAUGAUUAAUAGGGACAGUCGGGGGCAUCAGUAUUCAAUUGUCAGAGGUGAAAUUCUUGGAUUUAUUGAAGACUAACUACUGCGAAAGCAUUUGCCAAGGAUGUUUUCAUUAAUCAGUGAACGAAAGUUAGGGGAUCGAAGACGAUCAGAUACCGUCGUAGUCUUAACCAUAAACUAUGCCGACUAGGGAUCGGGCGGUGUUUCUAUUGUGACCCGCUCGGCACCUUACGAGAAAUCAAAGUGUUUGGGUUCUGGGGGAGU
Molecule: ribosomal RNA, 1038 nt
Filed under: Venturia liriodendri
Lineage: Eukaryota; Fungi; Ascomycota; Dothideomycetes; Venturiales; Venturiaceae
Description: partial 18S ribosomal RNA
Rfam family: Eukaryotic small subunit ribosomal RNA
Source: RNAcentral